UGUAUUCACUACUGUAAGUCGCUCUGGAUAAGAGCAUCUGCUAAAUGACUGAAA
Molecule: non-coding RNA, 54 nt
Organism: Salmo salar (Atlantic salmon)
Lineage: Eukaryota; Metazoa; Chordata; Actinopteri; Salmoniformes; Salmonidae
Source: Rfam